UAGGGAAUCUUCGGCAAUGGACGAAAGUCUGACCGAGCAACGCCGCGUGAGUGAAGAAGGUUUUCGGAUCGUAAAACUCUGUUGUUAGAGAAGAACAAGGACGUUAGUAAUUGAACGUCCCCUGACGGUAUCUAACCAGAAAGCCACGGCUAACUACGUGCCAGCAGCCGCGGUAAUACGUAGGUGGCAAGCGUUGUCCGGAUUUAUUGGGCGUAAAGCGAGCGCAGGCGGUUUCUUAAGUCUGAUGUGAAAGCCCCCGGCUCAACCGGGGAGGGUCAUUGGAAACUGGGAGACUUGAGUGCAGAAGAGGAGAGUGGAAUUCCAUGUGUAGCGGUGAAAUGCGUAGAUAUAUGGAGGAACACCAGUGGCGAAGGCGGCUCUCUGGUCUGUAACUGACGCUGAGGCUCGAAAGCGUGGGGAGCAAACAGG
RNAcentral lists this ribosomal RNA (429 nucleotides) under Gemmatimonadota bacterium. RNAcentral describes it as "Gemmatimonadetes bacterium partial 16S ribosomal RNA". It matches the Rfam family "Bacterial small subunit ribosomal RNA", at positions 355 to 776 of the family's 1533-position model. The record is from RNAcentral. Lineage: Bacteria; Pseudomonadati; Gemmatimonadota.